UAUAGGGGGCAUGUUGGUGUGUGGGUGGAUGUUUUCAGAUAGUUACGGAGAGGCUGUUUGCUCGGCUCAUGGUCCCUUGCUGCGUAACAGACACAGGAGGAAUGUUCCCGCCUGGCUUCCAUGCCUGCCUGGAAGAGAAACAUCAUGAAGAAAAAGAUGGAAGAUGAGAAGGAGCACAAAAGAAAAGAAGAGGAGAACCGGAGGAUGAAGAAGGAAAACAUGGA
Molecule: long non-coding RNA, 224 nt
Organism: Anguilla anguilla (European eel)
Lineage: Eukaryota; Metazoa; Chordata; Actinopteri; Anguilliformes; Anguillidae
Exons: 3
Source: RefSeq, a predicted model, not a curated record